AGUGAACGCUGGCGGUAGGCCUAACACAUGCAAGUCGAACGGCAGCACAGUAAGAGCUUGCUCUUACGGGUGGCGAGUGGUGGACGGGUGAGGAAUACAUCGGAAUCUACUUUUUCGUGGGGGAUAACGUAGGGAAACUUACGCUAAUACCGCAUACGACCUACGGGUGAAAGCAGGGGAUCUUCGGACCUUGCGCGAUUGAAUGAGCCGAUGUCGGAUUAGCUAGUUGGCGGGGUAAAGGCCCACCAAGGCGACGAUCCGUAGCUGGUCUGAGAGGAUGAUCAGCUACACUGGAACUGAGACACGGUCCAGACUCCUACGGGAGGCAGCAGUGGGGAAUAUUGGACAAUGGGCGCAAGCCUGAUCCAGCCAUACCGCGUGGGUGAAGAAGGCCUUCGGGUUGUAAAGCCCUUUUGUUGGGAAAGAAAAGCAGCAGGUUAAUACCCCGCUGUUCUGACGGUACCCAAAGAAUAAGCACCGGCUAACUUCGUG
This 492-nucleotide ribosomal RNA is filed under the name uncultured bacterium. Its description in RNAcentral is "partial 16S ribosomal RNA". It matches the Rfam family "Bacterial small subunit ribosomal RNA", at positions 29 to 507 of the family's 1533-position model. The record is from RNAcentral.